Hevea brasiliensis (rubber tree) is the source of this 1323-nucleotide RNA transcript. It is a transcript of the gene named chaperonin CPN60, mitochondrial-like, with no coding region annotated. The record is from RefSeq and is a predicted model, not a curated record. The transcript has 4 exons. Lineage: Eukaryota; Viridiplantae; Streptophyta; Magnoliopsida; Malpighiales; Euphorbiaceae.
GUCGGUGUGUGUGCGCGCGCGUCCGUGCAUGGCAAAAAUAGCUUCUUUUGAUUAUUUUCCAAUCUGGGUCUUUCUCAUUUUUAUGUAAUUUGUUGUCCUUUAUUUUAGGUUGGCUAGCAGGCAAAGAACAGUACUCAGAAGAUUGGCGGUAGGUUGGUUUGGAGCAGAAAUUAUGCGGUCAAAAACAUUAAAUUUGGCGUUGAAACUCGCGCUUUGAUGCUUAAAGGUGCUGAGGAGCUCGCUGAUGCUGUUAAAGUGACUAUGGGGCUAAAAGGAGGGGGUUUAAUUCCUCGUACUCCAAUUAAAUAUUGUGUAGUUUAGACGUUUGAGUUCUUGUUUCGUAUUUGACUUCCCACUGGGGCGCAAUGUUGUUUUGGAACAAAGUUGGGGAGGCCCUAAAGUGACAAAAGAUGGUGUCACUGUAUCAAAGAGCAUUGAAUUCCAAGACAAAGUGAAGAACAUAGGUGCUAGCCCUGUAAAGCAGGUUGCAGGUGCUACAAAUGAUGUGGCAGGCGAUGUGGCCAGCGAUGGUACCACUUUUGCAACAGUCCUCACCCAUGUCAUAUUUGUUGAAGGAUGCAAGUCUGUGGAAGCUGGAAUGAAUGCCACGGACUUAAGACAUUGGAUUUGAUUAACCAUGCUACUAAUAUGACCUUUCUAAAAAGGUUGGAACAAUAUCAGCAAAUGGAGAAAGAAAGAUCAGUGAGCUGAUAGCCAAAGCAAUGGAGAAAGUUGGCAAAGAGGGUGUCAUUAGCAUCUAGGUAGGAUGCUUUUGAGUUGUUCCAUUUUUCCCUUGUAUUUCCUUCGAUUCUUAUAAUGUUAGGAACCUUAUUUUGUGGACCUUUGAGCUGCACAACCUUAUUUUUGUUGUUAGCUUCUGCAACUUCAUUGCUCUUACUGGAUGUUUGUUGGGCUUUUUUUUUAUUUUUUUAUUCCUAUCAUUCAGCAUGCUAACUUUGUUCCUCUCAAAACCAUUUCAACAUAAGUUAGAGCUCAUUGAAGGAAUGAAGCUGGACAGAGGCUACAUGUCUCCUUAUUUUGUCGCCACCACCACCACCACUACAACUAAGCCUUAGUCCCAAACUAGUUGGCGUCAGCUAUAUAGAUCCCUUUUCGCCAUUCAGCUCUGUUAGACACCAAGUCUACAUCAAUAUAUCUCUUUAUUUUGUCACCAAUACAAAAAAAAAAAAAAAGUGUAGGCACUUCUAAAUUGGAGUAUGAAUUGUUCCACCUUAUCAUAUUCAUAUUUUAAUUUUUGAUUGUUGGUUUACUUCACAUGGCACAGGAACUAGAAGAUCUUCUCAUUUUAAUUCAUGAGAAGAA